Tyto alba (common barn owl) is the source of this 1062-nucleotide long non-coding RNA. RefSeq lists it as uncharacterized. The record is from RefSeq and is a predicted model, not a curated record. The transcript has 5 exons. Lineage: Eukaryota; Metazoa; Chordata; Aves; Strigiformes; Tytonidae.
UUUUAGGAGGAAAAUCUGCAACUUUGAAGUUACAUUUGAACGUAUAAGAGGAAUACCUGCCUGUCAGCAUAACAUAGCCCUGAGUUUGCAGGUAUCAGCCUCACCUUUCCCUGACCUCCAUAUGAAUUACUGCAGAUGAGCUCUGUAAACCCUAGGAGGAAGACUCACAGCCUACCCGCCGGCUUACAUCCCCGGAAAGGGGGAAGGAAACAAGACUGGGAGGAAGAGAACCCCUUCUUCUGCGCCCCCCAAAACCAGCCGAGGGGGGCAGCUGGUAACGCCAGCACCUCACACCCACAGACGUGCCCAUCGUACGUCCCACGGCACGCUGUCGACCCAGUGUGUUCGUGCAGGGCCGAGCGGCACGCGUUUGAGAAAUUAAUUCCUGGCAGCAGUGUGAUGCCACCAGUCUGAGGGUGGCCUGGAGUGAGCUGGGAUUCACAGACCGUGAAGGAAGAAGGAGGGGAUCCUGAAGCAGUAACAGACUGUUUGCUCCUGGACUCUGUCCAAGGGGACUGCUUCCGCAUCAGCGCUGUUCCCAGUGGGACUAUGGAAGGAAAAGAGACAUCACCAAGUCAUCACUUAGAGGAGAGCAGCGUAUUGGACCUACCCUCUGUUUGUGAACUAGCAGAAUGCUUUCUGCCUUCACCCAGCUCUGAAAACAGUGAGGAGCUUUUUCAUUCCAUGGAUACUUUUCCCUCUCUGCCCACAGGUAACAGCUUCUGCCUCUCUACAUGCUCUUUCUUUAGCCAGUGCAUUGUCUAUUUAGGCAGUGUGUCAUUUGACUGAGUAACCACAGUCUGAUACUAGUGCAUCUGCCUUGUCUUAAAACACAGUUUACCAGAACUACAUACAGUCUGUUCCAGCUUGACAGAUACAGUGUGAACUGGGGGUUGAUGAAACACAAGAGUUCAGAGGAUACUACCAGCUGCUAGUGUUUUGACAACGCUGUUUCUUCAUGUUUAGUGUGUUCUCAGAGGAAGAGUUACUUGAACUAACCCACAUAGCAAUCCUCCAGCCAUCAGUAGGAAACACUGUCUUAAAUUACCAUAGUCAGUCAGA